Molecule: unclassified non-coding RNA, 328 nt
Filed under: soil metagenome
Description: partial contains 5.8S ribosomal RNA, internal transcribed spacer 2, and large subunit ribosomal RNA
Rfam family: 5.8S ribosomal RNA (bases 1-120)
Source: RNAcentral
GAUGAAGAACGUAGCGAAAUGCGAUAAGUAAUGUGAAUUGCAGAAUUCAGUGAAUCAUCGAAUCUUUGAACGCACAUUGCGCCCCCUGGUAUUCCGGGGGGCAUGCCUGUCCGAGCGUCAUUACAACCCUCAAGCUCUGCUUGGUGUUGGGCCCCGCCGCCCCGGCGGGCCCUAAAGUCAGUGGCGGUGCCAUCCGGCUCCGAGCGUAGUAAUUCUUCUCGCUCUGGAGGUCCGGUUGUGUGCUUGCCAUCAACCCCCAAUUUUUUUCAGGUUGACCUCGGAUCAGGUAGGGAUACCCGCUGAACUUAAGCAUAUCAAUAAGCGGAGA